UGGGGAAUUUUGCACAAUGGGGGAAACCCUGAUGCAGCGACGCCGCGUGAUUUAGAAGGCCUUCGGGUUGUAAAAAUCUUUUCUAUGGGAAGAAAAUGACAGUACCAUAGGAAUAAGGACCGGCUAAUUACGUGCCAGCAGCCGCGGUAAUACGUAAGGUCCGAGCGUUGUCCGGAAUCAUUGGGCGUAAAGGGUACGUAGGCGGGUAAGCAAGUUAGAAGUGAAAUCCUAUAGCUCAACUAUAGUAAGCUUUUAAAACUGCUCAUCUUGAGGUAUGGAAGGGAAAGUGGAAUUCCUAGUGUAGCGGUGAAAUGCGCAGAUAUUAGGGGGAAUACCGGUGGCGAAGGCGACUUUCUGGCCAUAACCUGACGCUGAGGUACGAAAGCGUGGGGAGCAAACAGG
RNAcentral lists this ribosomal RNA (402 nucleotides) under bacterium. RNAcentral's name for it is "partial 16S ribosomal RNA". It matches the Rfam family "Bacterial small subunit ribosomal RNA", at positions 355 to 776 of the family's 1533-position model. The record is from RNAcentral.